Long non-coding RNA from Ruditapes philippinarum (Manila clam), 1027 nucleotides. RefSeq lists it as uncharacterized. The record is from RefSeq and is a predicted model, not a curated record. Lineage: Eukaryota; Metazoa; Mollusca; Bivalvia; Venerida; Veneridae. The transcript has 3 exons.
AUUGUUGAAGUUUAAACAACGUUAUCAACAAUAAGUGAAUGCGGAAAUUGCAAAUGCUAUUUGAAGGAAGGGUAGAUUAAAACUGCGUCCCAGAUGCGUCUGGAACAAAAUUAUUUGGCUUUUGUUGAAGGAUACAGUGCUAUUACAGAAUUAUAGAAAUGGAUAAAAAGGAAUUACGAGAUUAUCUUGGGCAAAAUCAACACUUUAACCCAAGUGCGAACCCGCAACAACCCAAUCAACGCUGGUGGAGUAACGUUAAACCAUUUCAGGGCUUGCAACGUCAAGGAUCCGCAGAUUCUUCGUCCUCUCCGACCACAAGCUCUCCGAUGGCUGGUUCCUCCGUCGUGUCAGAAAGUUUCAGAAGAAAGUUGUCCCGCUCUUUUUCGUCAGACGAACAUAAGGAUAGCAUUCUUACGUAGGAUGUACAGAUUUUUUACCCUACAAGAUUUUGCCCGAGAUCAAUUUCUGUAGAUAGCUUGGUCUGCCACUGUUUGCUUACAUUUUGUAGACGGCAUCUGAGGGUUUAAAUCUUAGUGCUAACCCCGCACAAUGUUUAACAUCCAACAACGGAAACAUCAACAAAUUGGACAGGACAUAAAAUCUCAUGAUAUGAAAACAGGGUCUUUCAAAUGAUAGACCCUGAUGGAAAGGACUGAUUCUAAAUUAAAGUGUUUACAUGGUAUUAGACUUUUUUAAUUAGUUUAUAUGUAUGUAAUAGUAAGAAUAAUAUUUUCAUAACGAAAGGAAAGACAUAUAUCAAGAAAUCGGAGACAAAAUGCAUGAAACGGGUUCGUCAUUUGUUUCCAUCUUUUCCAUCAUCAAUCAAUCGGAACAUCUUGGCUAUUAUCAAUGACGGAAAUGGCCGAAAAGUUGCGAUUGUGCAUCAAUAAUACACAUUUUACAUAAGUAGAUAUACUCAGCUGCUUUUUGGACAGUAUGUGCUCAUUUAUAACGUUACAUAAAAAUGUUUUUGCUUUUUUGCUAUGUUGUAGAUAUACCUAAUACACAACUUAUAAAAAAAUAAUAA